RNAcentral lists this ribosomal RNA (468 nucleotides) under uncultured bacterium. RNAcentral describes it as "partial 16S ribosomal RNA". It matches the Rfam family "Bacterial small subunit ribosomal RNA", at positions 28 to 507 of the family's 1533-position model. The record is from RNAcentral.
GACGAACGCUGGCGGCGUGCUUAACACAUGCAAGUCGAACGGAAAGGCCCUGCUUUUGUGGGGUGCUCGAGUGGCGAACGGGUGAGUAACACGUGAGUAACCUGCCCGUGGCGUGGGGAUAACUUCAGGAAACUGGGUCUAUUACCGGAUAGGAGCUCCUGCGGCAGGGGGGGGGUUUGGAAGUUUGGGCGGUUGGGGUUGGACUCGCGGCUUAUCAGCUUGUUGGUGGGGUAGUGGCUUACCAAGGCUUUGACGGGUAGCCGGCCUGAGAGGGUGACCGGCUACAUGGGGACUGCGAUACGGCCCAGACUCCUACGGGAGGCAGUAGGGGGGAAUAUUGCACAAUGGGCGGACGCCUGAUGCAGCAACGCCGCGUGCGGGAUGACGGCCUGCGGGUUGUAAACCGCUUUCGCCUGUGACGAAGCGUGAGUGACGGUAAUGGGUAAAUAAGCACCGGCUAACUACGUG